GUCCUCGCCGGCCCAGGAGUCGGGGAUAGGCGCGGGGAGUCCCCGGGGGCACGGCGCACUCACCAUAGCCGGCCUCAGCCCCUGGCCGGAGCGCAGCUGCCGAUGGCGCGGACGCUGACCGAAAUGAACCACUGAUUUACCAGAAGAUGCGUUGAAAGAGCGAAGGAAAUUGUUUAAACAACAAGAACAAAAAGAAGGAAAACAAGAUUGCCAACUGACAAAGCAAUGGUGUGGUGUGAAUAGAAAAACUAUGACAAAAAGCUUGGAAAGGAGGAGUGGAGCAAAUCCUGGGGUCUCAUAAACCCAAGGCUCCCGGCUGAAGAGGAGGAAGGCGUUUGCAGUAUGCAAAAGAACCCCAAGGCACCUCAGCCAUUUGUUCCAGGUUUGAAACCUAACACAGAAGAUUCAGCCAUGCAAUGGGAUUUGAAGACAAAGGACAUCUGGUUAUUUAUGGAUAUGAUUAUCAAAAUUGAGAAUCCUGGCCUCCACAAUAGGAGCAAGACUGCAAAAACAACUGUAACUGGACAAACAUGAAACUAUGGGGACACAUGAUGAAAUUCUACAAAGAGCUGGAAAGAGAGCUUCAGCAAUCCACAUCUAGCUGUCUACCACAUGCAAGAAUGUAUACAGUUCCAUGCAUUCAUCAGUGCCUAGUUUAUUGCAAAUUGAGGAGCAUCUGUUGUUAUACUUUUGAACCUCUUCCUUUGUUG
Molecule: long non-coding RNA, 710 nt
Filed under: Cricetulus griseus (Chinese hamster)
Lineage: Eukaryota; Metazoa; Chordata; Mammalia; Rodentia; Cricetidae
Description: lncRNA (ENSCGRG00015040191.1)
Source: RNAcentral